GUUUUCGAUAUCAUAUCGAGUGAAAUGUAUGGACCAAGUGGGAGAAUGUAAACCUUUGGUAUUUUUAAAUGGUCCAAUCAUCUUCCUCUUUUAUUGGAAGUUAUUCACCUUCUCACCUUCUCAUAACUGUCCAUCUUCCCUAAUGUUUGGCUUGAUCCUUUUUCUUUCCAGGAACUGUCAAGUUCACCUUCUCACCCUCUUCCAUUGCUAACCUUCCCUCCUCUUGAACACACAUGGUCAACAGUUCAUUAAUUGACCAUUUGUCGUUAUGUGUGUAAUAAGAGAUCUUAAAGGGACCAUAUUGCUGGGGCAGAGUGCACAGAAUGAAGUGAACCAGGAAAGUAUCUGACAUCUCAACUUCCAACGCUUUCAGUUGAGCUGCUAUAUCCCUCAUGCGCAUGAUAUGAUCACGCACGCCUCUAAUCCCGGUGAGCUUCAUGGAUGAGAACUGCAUAAUUAGGGUGCUUGCUAAUGUCUUGUCUGAUGUCACAAAUUGAUCAUCAAUUGCCUUCAGCAAUUCUCGAACAUUGUCGUAUUGCUCGACAGAACCCCUAAUCCCAGCAGAUAUUUUGGUCUUUAUGAACAUGACUGAAAGGCGAUUAGAUCGCUCCCAUUUUUCAUAAAGAUCAACUUGGUCUGGAAUGCUGGUUUCAGUAAUUUUAGGUGGUUCGUCUUUCCUAAUAGCAUAGUCAAUGUCCAUCCACCCUAAGUGAAGGAGAAUCCUUUCCUUCCAAACCUUAUAGUU
This 745-nucleotide long non-coding RNA is filed under the name Olea europaea subsp. europaea. The record is from RNAcentral. Lineage: Eukaryota; Viridiplantae; Streptophyta; Magnoliopsida; Lamiales; Oleaceae.